This is a long non-coding RNA of Amphimedon queenslandica, 319 nucleotides long. RefSeq lists it as uncharacterized. Lineage: Eukaryota; Metazoa; Porifera; Demospongiae; Haplosclerida; Niphatidae. The record is from RefSeq and is a predicted model, not a curated record. The transcript is spliced from 2 exons.
AGACUAUUUUUGGUUGAUUAUUCUACCGAAAGGAGCAAUAAAACCGGAAAAUGUAAAAUCGAGGUGUUGUACUUUGUGGGACUCGUUCUUUUGAUCUCAUCAUUGGACCUAUUGUUUGAUACUUGCAUAUGAUGAAGAAAUCCUUCCACUAGUGGAAUAGCAUAGUUUAAUGAUUCUAGUUGUUUAUAAUCAUGCUAAAAUCAAUUUAAAGAUGCAGAAGGUAGAGAGAGGUCAUCAUUAACUUCCACCAGUAGUUCAGCUUCUUCCUUGUUUUAUGAGAUGCAAGAGAGGCUGGAGAACACUGCACAAAAGAGAAAAA